AGAGUUUGAUCCUGGCUCAGAGCGAACGCUGGCGGCAGGCCUAACACAUGCAAGUCGAACGAACUCUUCGGAGUUAGUGGCGGACGGGUGAGUAACACGUGGGAACGUGCCUUUAGGUUCGGAAUAACUCAGGGAAACUUGUGCUAAUACCGAAUGUGCCCUUCGGGGGAAAGAUUUAUCGCCUUUAGAGCGGCCCGCGUCUGAUUAGCUAGUUGGUGAGGUAAAGGCUCACCAAGGCGACGAUCAGUAGCUGGUCUGAGAGGAUGAUCAGCCACAUUGGGACUGAGACACGGCCCAAACUCCUACGGGAGGCAGCAGUGGGGAAUCUUGCGCAAUGGGCGAAAGCCUGACGCAGCCAUGCCGCGUGAAUGAUGAAGGUCUUAGGAUUGUAAAAUUCUUUCACCGGGGACGAUAAUGACGGUACCCGGAGAAGAAGCCCCGGCUAACUUCGUGCCAGCAGCCGCGGUAAUACGAAGGGGGCUAGCGUUGCUCGGAAUUACUGGUCGUAAAGGGAGCGUAUGCGGACAUUUAAGGCAGGGGUGAAA
RNAcentral lists this ribosomal RNA (545 nucleotides) under uncultured freshwater bacterium. RNAcentral's name for it is "bacterial SSU rRNA". It matches the Rfam family "Bacterial small subunit ribosomal RNA", at positions 8 to 599 of the family's 1533-position model. The record is from RNAcentral.